GGAGAGGUGCCAGAGUGGCCGAAUGGACUGGUUUUGAAAACCAGCGUCCUUCACGGGACCGUGGGUUCAAAUCCCACCCUCUCCGCCA
This 88-nucleotide transfer RNA is filed under the name Planctomycetota bacterium. Its description in RNAcentral is "tRNA-Ser". It matches the Rfam family "tRNA". From Rfam's summary of the family: Transfer RNA (tRNA) molecules are approximately 80 nucleotides in length. Their secondary structure includes four short double-helical elements and three loops (D, anti-codon, and T loops). The record is from RNAcentral. RNAcentral also lists the same sequence under 1 other name. Lineage: Bacteria; Pseudomonadati; Planctomycetota.